RNAcentral lists this small RNA (28 nucleotides) under Bombyx mori (domestic silkworm). RNAcentral describes it as "ovarian small RNA-30113". The record is from RNAcentral. Lineage: Eukaryota; Metazoa; Arthropoda; Insecta; Lepidoptera; Bombycidae.
UCUUCAUCAUUGUUUUUUUGUCCGGCAG